CAGCAGGAGUGAGGCAGCAAAAGAAGAAAGCAGUCCUACCAAGUAGAAGAGUUUGGUGACAUUGUCGGGGAAAGAGCAAGGUGGGAUCAUAUCACAGACCAUGCUGGACCAUACUGAGCAUGCUUAGGUGUUGGCAUUUAUACACCUGUAGCCAUGGAAAUGACUGGAACACCUGAAUUCAAUGAUUUCUAUGGGGCUAGAGCCUACACCAGCUAUUCCAGGCAGGGUACACUUGAACAGAUCACCUGGACAGGUCUUGGAGCACACACAGUCUCUCUGGGGUUGAAGCUGCA
Long non-coding RNA from Oreochromis aureus, 293 nucleotides. RefSeq lists it as uncharacterized. NCBI's taxonomy places the organism in Eukaryota, Metazoa, Chordata, Actinopteri, Cichliformes, Cichlidae. The record is from RefSeq and is a predicted model, not a curated record. The transcript has 3 exons.